RNAcentral lists this ribosomal RNA (1000 nucleotides) under uncultured bacterium. Its description in RNAcentral is "bacterial SSU rRNA". It matches the Rfam family "Bacterial small subunit ribosomal RNA", at positions 32 to 1026 of the family's 1533-position model. The record is from RNAcentral.
AACGCUGGCGGCAGGCUUAACACAUGCAAGUCGAGCGGAAACGAUGGGAGCUUGCUCCCAGGCGUCGAGCGGCGGACGGGUGAGUAAUACUUAGGAAUCUGCCCAGUAGUGGGGGAGAGCUCGGGGAAACUCGAAUUAAUACCGCAUACACCCUACGGGGAAAAGGGGGCGCUUGCGCUCUCGCUAUUGGAUGAGCCUAAGUCGGAUUAGCUAGUUGGUGGGGUAAAGGCCUACCAAGGCGACGAUCUGUAGCUGGUCUGAGAGGAUGAUCAGCCACACCGGGACUGAGACACGGCCCGGACUCCUACGGGAGGCAGCAGUGGGGAAUAUUGGACAAUGGGGGCAACCCUGAUCCAGCCAUGCCGCGUGUGUGAAGAAGGCCUUUUGGUUGUAAAGCACUUUAAGCAGUGAAGAAGACCUAACGGUUAAUACCCGUUAGCGAUGACAUUAGCUGCAGAAUAAGCACCGGCUAACUCUGUGCCAGCAGCCGCGGUAAUACAGAGGGUGCAAGCGUUAAUCGGAAUUACUGGGCGUAAAGCGAGCGUAGGUGGCUUGAUAAGUCAGAUGUGAAAUCCCCGGGCUUAACCUGGGAACUGCAUCUGAUACUGUUGGGCUAGAGUAGGUGAGAGGGAGGUAGAAUUUCAGGUGUAGCGGUGAAAUGCGUAGAGAUCUGAAGGAAUACCGAUGGCGAARGCAGCCUCCUGGCAUCAUACUGACACUGAGGUUCGAAAGCGUGGGUAGCAAACAGGAUUAGAUACCCUGGUAGUCCACGCCGUAAACGAUGUCUACUAGUCGUUGGGGAACUUGAUUCCUUAGUGACGCAGCUAACGCAAUAAGUAGACCGCCUGGGGAGUACGGCCGCAAGGUUAAAACUCAAAUGAAUUGACGGGGGCCCGCACAAGCGGUGGAGCAUGUGGUUUAAUUCGAUGCAACGCGAAGAACCUUACCUGGUCUUGACAUAUCUAGAAUCCUGCAGAGAUGCGGGAGUGCCUUCGGGGAA